This 276-nucleotide long non-coding RNA is filed under the name Capsella grandiflora. Its description in RNAcentral is "long non-coding RNA (CGRA_LNC000603)". The record is from RNAcentral. Lineage: Eukaryota; Viridiplantae; Streptophyta; Magnoliopsida; Brassicales; Brassicaceae.
AAGUUGUUAAUUAUUGUAUUAGUAUCAGACCUAAUUCUUUACUUAAGCAUAAUUUCCCCUUUGUUGCAAGACACAUGAUUUGCCCGUACGUAACGGACAUAAGAAAAUAAAAAGGGUACAUAUGUUACUUGGAAGCUAAAGAACUAUAUAAAAAUAUUAAACAUUUUUUUGUGAUUAUAUGUGUGAUUGAUUCAGGUUAUAUAAUUUUUUUUGGUUUGAUUGAUUCGAUGUAAAUAUAUUUUUGGUUUGAUUUAUUCGAUGUUAAUACGUGUCCNN